RNAcentral lists this unclassified non-coding RNA (375 nucleotides) under uncultured bacterium. RNAcentral describes it as "contains 16S-23S intergenic spacer region". The record is from RNAcentral.
UCCGGUUUGUCACCGGCAGUCUCCCAUGAGUCCCCAACUUAAUGCUGGCAACAUAGGACAGGGGUUGCGCUCGUUAUAGGACUUGACCAAACAUCUCACGACACGAGCUGACGACAGCCAUGCAGCACCUUCCAUCGCGCCCCGAAGGGACCCUCCCUUUCGGGAGGUAGCACGAUGAAUUUAGCCCAGGUAAGGUUCCUCGCGUUGCAUCGAAUUAAGCCACAUGCUCCACCGCUUGUGCGGGCCCCCGUCAAUUCCUUUGAGUUUCAGCCUUGCGGCCGUACUCCCCAGGCGGGGCACUUAAUGCGUUAGCUGCGACACCGAGUGCGUCUACACACCCGGCAUCUAGUGCCCAGCGUUUACGGCGUGGACUAC